RNAcentral lists this ribosomal RNA (510 nucleotides) under uncultured bacterium. RNAcentral describes it as "partial 16S ribosomal RNA". It matches the Rfam family "Bacterial small subunit ribosomal RNA", at positions 28 to 507 of the family's 1533-position model. The record is from RNAcentral.
GACGAACGCUGGCGGCGUGCUUAACACAUGCAAGUCGAACGAAGAGCGAUGGAAGCUUGCUUCUAUCAAUCUUAGUGGCGAACGGGUGAGUAACGCGUAAUCAACCUGCCCUUCAGAGGGGGACAACAGUUGGAAACGACUGCUAAUACCGCAUACGCUCUAAUCUCGGCAUCGAGGAUAGAUGAAAGGUGGCCUCUACAUGUAAGCUAUCACUGAAGGAGGGGAUUGCGUCUGAUUAGCUAGUUGGAGGGGUAACGGCGCACCAAGGCGAUGAUCAGUAGCCGGUCUGAGAGGAUGAACGGCCACAUUGGGACUGAGACACGGCCCAGACUCCUACGGGAGGCAGCAGUGGGGAAUCUUCCGCAAUGGACGAAAGUCUGACGGAGCAACGCCGCGUGAGUGAUGACGGCCUUCGGGUUGUAAAGCUCUGUUAAUCGGGACGAAAGGCCUUCUUGCGAAUAGUGAGAAGGAUUGACGGUACCGGAAUAGAAAGCCACGGCUAACUACGUG